RNAcentral lists this ribosomal RNA (422 nucleotides) under uncultured bacterium. Its description in RNAcentral is "bacterial SSU rRNA". It matches the Rfam family "Bacterial small subunit ribosomal RNA", at positions 355 to 774 of the family's 1533-position model. The record is from RNAcentral.
UGAGGAAUAUUGGACAAUGGAUGGAAAUCUGAUCCUGCCAUGCCGCGUGCAGGAAGACGGCCCUAUGGGUUGUAAACUGCUUUUGUAUGGGAGCAAUAAGGACUACGUGUAGUUUGAUGAGAGUACCAUACGAAUAAGCAUCGGCUAACUCCGUGCCAGCAGCCGCGGUAAUACGGAGGAUGCGAGCGUUUUCCGGAUUUAUUGGGUUUAAAGGGUGCGUAGGCGGCGAUAUAAGUCAGUGGUGAAAUAUUUCGGCUUAACCGAGAGACUGCCAUUGAUACUGUGUUGCUAGAAUAUGGUUGCUGUGAGUGGAAUGUGGGGUGUAGCGGUGAAAUGCUUAGAUAUCACACAGAAUAUCGAUUGCGAAGGCAGCUCGCAAAGCCAUUAUUGACGCUGAGGCACGAAAGUGUGGGGAUCAAACA